GUGAAUAUAGUUUAUAAAAAUCCUAGCUUGUGAUUCUAGAGAAGAGGACUAACACUCCCCUAUUCACC
This 68-nucleotide transfer RNA is filed under the name Calyptocephallela gayi (helmeted water toad). Its description in RNAcentral is "tRNA-His". Lineage: Eukaryota; Metazoa; Chordata; Amphibia; Anura; Calyptocephalellidae. The record is from RNAcentral.